AGAACGAACGCUGGCGGCAUGCCUAACACAUGCAAGUCGAACGCUCCUGGGGCUUCGGUCUCAGGGGAGUGGCGCACGGGUGAGUAGCGCGUGGGAACCUGCCCUGUUGUGGGGGAUAACCGAGGGAAACUUCGGCUAAUACCGCAUACGCCCGGGGAAACCUGGGGAAAGAUUUAUCGCAGCAGGAGGGGCCCGCGUCGGAUUAGGUAGUUGGUAGGGUAACGGCCUACCAAGCCUGUGAUCCGUAGCUGGUCUGAGAGGAUGAUCAGCCACACUGGGACUGAGACACGGCCCAGACUCCUACGGGAGGCAGCAGUGGGGAAUAUUGGACAAUGGGCGCAAGCCUGAUCCAGCAAUGCCGCGUGAGUGAUGAAGGCCUUAGGGUUGUAAAGCUCUUUCGCCCGCGACGAUGAUGACGGUAGCGGGAGAGAAGCCCGGCUAACUUCGCGCCAGCAGCCGC
This 460-nucleotide ribosomal RNA is filed under the name uncultured bacterium. RNAcentral describes it as "SSU rRNA". It matches the Rfam family "Bacterial small subunit ribosomal RNA", at positions 26 to 518 of the family's 1533-position model. The record is from RNAcentral.